UUAAAACACCAGUUCUUGUACAAUCACUGAAGUUAAACAACAUUGAGCCUGGUCAGUACCUGAAUGGGUGACUGCUUGAGAAUACCAGGUGGUGUAG
Non-coding RNA from Acanthosepion pharaonis, 97 nucleotides. The record is from the annotation of a GenBank genome assembly. NCBI's taxonomy places the organism in Eukaryota, Metazoa, Mollusca, Cephalopoda, Sepiida, Sepiidae.